This is a long non-coding RNA of Panicum virgatum (switchgrass), 1806 nucleotides long. RefSeq lists it as uncharacterized. The record is from RefSeq and is a predicted model, not a curated record. The transcript is spliced from 2 exons. Lineage: Eukaryota; Viridiplantae; Streptophyta; Magnoliopsida; Poales; Poaceae.
ACCAUUCGGACUAACUUUUGUUUGAUGAAUUUGUCGAUUUUGGCAGGCAUGCAGUUCUGAGAUUGCAUCUUUAUACAAUAGCUCAAUGCUUUGUGUAACUCCAAAUUCUGAAUAGACAUUCAGUUUUUCCCCAUUAAUAAUUAGACAACAUUUGACAUCUCUGUUAGUUAUAGUAAAUAAGCAUACAUUCGGAUGGUUCUUAUACAAGGUAAAUAUAAUUCAGGAUACAAAAUAAACCCUCAAGCUGUUAUCCUUUAUCUUACAGAAAAUAAAAAGUUUCAGCAUAUCAAUAUCAUAAAUCGUAAUAGCCAAUUUAUUUUACUACCUUCAAUUUUUUGUGGUGUAUUAUCAAAUCAGUACAAAUCAGAACAUCCAAUGGAUUACUUGGCACAAGUCCAUCGUGAUUUAUGACAAGGAUCUAUUCAAACUAUCUCCGAACUUUUCUUAUUGCUUUCCGUAUAUGCUAGGUUCUGAAUAAGUCAGCUAAUUUCUGGUUAUAUUUCUGGGGGGCACCGAGAUGCUAUCCUCUGUAGAGAUGUUUAAGGUUAUAGUGUCAGAUGGUAAUAUUUGGUAACUUUGCAAAUGUCAUUUCAUGGCACGUCCAAUCCAUAUAUCAAUCAGAAUUUUUAAAGUGUAGGGAUGAAAAAUAAAAUAAGCCUUUCUGAGGUGUACAACUGAGAAAUGAGUUGGGCAUACUUAAUCUUCCGAUGUAUGUAUAUAUGUUUUGUAUACUGCAAAUGAAACAAAAUGAAGUGUUUACAUGUUCAUCUAUCUGCUUGUACUCUAAAAUUUAAGAAUACAAGUUGUGAACUACACUUUCUUUUAUUCAGUAAUUCUGAAUUAGUUGACUUGGGGAUUACAUUUUCUUUCAUCCAAUAAUCCUGACUCAAUUGAGUUCUUAUCUAAAAAUGGUGUACCAACAGUUCCAGAAAGUGACAGGAUAAUUUACUUUUCAUAUGCCCUUUCUGAAAUGAUGAAAUUUUAAAUUACUUGGUGACUGCAGUCCUAAACCAUUUAUUUAUAUUGUGAAAUCCAUCUCUGUUGAUGCAUCUAUCAACAUUAUUAUUUAAUCUCUCAUAUGUUAUUUCACUAUACAUACACAUUAAAUGAACAUCUAAUAAAACUUUGUAAAAAAAAGAACUACAUAUUCACUACUGUUACAAAUCACUUCCAUAGCUGUUGCUACUCUUCAAUGCUCGGGGGCCUAUAUUUGGAGAACAUGAACUGCUACAUUGUUUUUUUUAUUUUUUGCAGAUCCCAAAUAUCAGAAAUCAACAAAUCAACCAGACACAAGGAGAAAAAAAAAGGAAAAUAAAGCCUGACCAGGCCAAUCUACAGCUUCCAUCAGCAAAACUUCUGGAAGAAACUGAUGAUCAUAUUACACACGUUCAAGUAACAAUUUGCAAGGCUGGCCGAUGGUCAAUAGCAAGCAAAACAUCCUUGCAAACCUGCAUGAUCUCAUUCUUCAUGUGCUACAUUAGUAAAUAUCAUAAUCUAGCAUUGUCGUUCAUCCAAUAUUGCCAUCUACCUUUUUUUUAUUUUUUUUUACCAUAAGAUUUUCAGAGUUAUUCUGUUGUGGUCAACAGACAGAAAAUGCCUAGUAGGAGCUAUACCAUGUUACCUGCUUGGACCACGACAUACGAGAGAAUGGACAGAGGGGCAAACUGUACGAGAUUAUGGAAUAUUUCUUUCUCAAUAUUUCCUAGCAACCCAAAUUUAAUUUUGUUACUAUCGACAGAUAUGUAUCCGGGCUCAUGGUAUUCAUGCUGGCCAAUCGAGGCCGAAGCGCGGCAACGCCGUUUUGAA